UACGAAGGGGGCGAGCGUUGUUCGGAUUUACUGGGCGUAAAGGGCGCGCAGGCGGUUCUGUUUGUCGAGUGUGAAAGCCCCGGGCUCAACCUGGGAACUGCGCUCGAAACGGCGGAACUAGAGUUCGGGAGAGGAGAGUGGAAUUCCCAGUGUAGAGGUGAAAUUCGUAGAUAUUGGGAAGAACACCGGUGGCGAAGGUGGCUCUCUGGACCGAUACUGACGCUGAGGCGCGAAAGCGUGGGGAGCAAACAGG
RNAcentral lists this ribosomal RNA (253 nucleotides) under uncultured bacterium. RNAcentral's name for it is "partial 16S ribosomal RNA". It matches the Rfam family "Bacterial small subunit ribosomal RNA", at positions 524 to 776 of the family's 1533-position model. The record is from RNAcentral.